Molecule: ribosomal RNA, 468 nt
Filed under: uncultured bacterium
Lineage: Bacteria
Description: partial 16S ribosomal RNA
Rfam family: Bacterial small subunit ribosomal RNA
Source: RNAcentral
GACGAACGCUGGCGGCGUGCUUAACACAUGCAAGUCGAACGGAAGGGCCCUGCUUUUGUGGGUUUCUCGUUUGCCGAACGGGUGAGUAACACGUGAGUAUCCUGCCCUUGACUUUGUGAUAACUUCAGGAAACUGGGGCGAUUACCGGAUAGGAUCUCCUGCUGCGUGUGGGGGGUUGGAGAGUUUCGGCGGUUGGGGAUGUACUCGCGGCUUAUCAGCUUCUUGGGGGGGUUGUGGAUUUCCAGGGCUUUCACGGGUACCCGGCCUGGGAGGGUGCACAGCCACCUGGGGACUGAGAGACGGCGCAGACUCCUACGGGAGGCAGUAGUGGGGAAUAUUGCACAAUAGGCGGAAGCCUGAUGCAGCAACGCCGCGUGCGGGAUGACGGCCUUCGGGUUGUGAACAUCUUUCGCCUGUGACGAAGCGUGAGUGACGGUAAUGAGUAAAGAAGCACCGGCUAACUACGUG